UAAAUUAUUAAAAUGAUGAUAAUGGCUUAUAAGAAGAAAGGCAACAAAAUUUUUCCCUUUUUCUUUUUCUAAUUUUCCUCAAUUUUUAUUCUCAUUUCUUUGGCGCAAGCUGUUUACAAUCCAAACGAAAUUGAACCUUCCAUGGAAAAGGGAAAAAAUAAAAUAAAAUAAGAAGCACUAUCAAAUUUCAAAUAAAUUUCCUUUUUUUUUUUUUUUUUUUUUUUUACAUUUUUUUAUGGAAGAAACGAUAAAAAUGUAGGGAAAAAAAUAUUCAAAAGUAAUUUAUUUUUAAUUUCAAAAACCUAAUUUAUUUUACCUUUUCUUCCUAUUUUUUUUCCCUCGGAUUUUUCUUUAAAACAUUUACGAGAACAAAGCAUAAUCAACCAAACAUAGCCUACACGUUUCCUAUGUCAUUUUCCCAGGAAAAAGAACAGGUGUUUAAUCUCCCUACUCCACUUAUUUUCAUUAAUUUAUCAGCAACUUAAAGUUUUCGUGGGACAAAUACAGAGAAUAUCAAGAACGAUUCCUCUUAUCACCGGUAUUGUUAACAGUGAUGGAGAAUUGGCACAAGGUUGAGAGCAAACUUCUUACGGACAGCAAGACCUGCUGCUUCUUCCAUGCUAAUAUCUGCCUCCCUCAUCCCAUUCGGCAAGUUCCAAUUGAAACGAUAUAAAAGAUUAGCAAGUGCGAGCUCCACUGUUGCAAUCGCCAUAUACAUACCCGGGCAAAUUCUUCUUCCCGCUCCGAAAGGCAGUAGCUCAAAAUGUUGUCCUCUAAAAUCUACAGAGUUGUCCAUAAACCUCUCGGGCAGAAACUCCUCUGGGUUCUUCCAGAGGUUGGGGUCUCUCCCAAUUGCCCAAACGUUUACGUGGACUUGGGUUUUCGGGUAAAUGUGGUACCCGUUUAUCUCAAAAUGUGACAUGGUUUCUCUUGGAACUAGAAGUGGGACGGGAGGAUGCAGUCUCAAAGUUUCUUUGACCACCAUCUUGAGGUAGUGAAGCUGAUCGACAUCACCCUUCGUGACUUUUCCUUUUUUUCCAAUGGAGCUUCUAACUUCAACCUGGGCUUUUUUCAUUAUUCUUGGGUUCCUAGCAAGCUCGGUCAUUGCCCAAGUUAGGGUGAUUGCACCAGUGUCCACUCCAGCCAAGAAUAAAUCCUGAGGCACAUGUUAAAAGUAGGCAAAAGAACACUUUAGUUCCAAGUAUACCAAGCUAAGCAUUAUGCCAUUCUUGGCUCAAAGAAACCAAGACGCAAAGUCAAAUUAAAUGAUAAUCGAUUGGCCCUUUUGUAGAUAGCUCCAAGGCACUCUACGUAACUGCUCCUGCCUCCCGUCUCUCUCCUCCACAUUUCCAUUUACAUCAUUAAUAGAACUUAUCAAGUAUUUUAUGACACGAGAUCUGACCAUAACUACAUUCAAACUUAACGAUGUAAAGUGUGUUGAGUUAUCCAAGUGUGAGCUUAGGAAAUGUGAUAUUAAGCUUCCCAAAUGGGGACCUGAUCUAUCAUUCAUCCUUUAAAUAGCUAAGAGUUGAAACAACAAUAAUACAUAUUCAUGAUACUUAACAAACUCAAAAAAGAAACGAAAAAAAAUGAGACGGAUCAAAGGAGUAGGUUGGUGGCUUACCAUGAUGAUUGCUUUUGCACUAUCUUUAGUAAACUGUACAGCACCGGAUUCAGACCGUUCCCUCUCUAUUUUCAGCAGCACGUCGAUGAUGUCUUCAUGCUCCUCUUUCACCCUUCCUGGGUUGAGAUGGUCCUCAAUCACCCGUUCGUAGAAACCGUCCAUUUCAAGGAAACUCCUCUCAAGCCUUCCAUGAAGACCAGUGAGUCUAUCCACAAUCCGACCCACGUACGGAAAGAAAUCGGCUGCAGUGAACCCGCCCAACAAAGCCACGGCUUCAUGAACCACUUCUUGAAAUCUUCCGUCACCAAACUCACUCACUUGAAAACUCUUUCCGAAUGCAAUCCUGCAAAUUAUAUUUGCAGUGAGAGACAUUAACCUCUCGGUAAGAUCAAUAGGACUUCCAGAAGAAGAUGAUUGCGCAAUUGAAUCAAUCAGCAAAGUGACCUCCUCUUCUCUGAUGAACUGAAACGAUUGCACCCUUUUUGUGCUAAACACCUCAAGAACACAGAUCUUGCGUACUUCCCUCCAGUAAUCGCCGUAUGGCGCAAAACCUAUGUCUCGGUGAUUGUAUGAGAAUUUUCCAGGUCCAACUAAGGGAGGUCGACUGCAACAAUCAAUAUCAUGAGUUUUCAAGAAUUCCCUUGCAGCUUCCGCAGAGGAGACUACGACGGUAGGGACACCGAGCUGAAGGAGCAUGAUGGAGCCAUAUUUCUUAGAUAGUUGCCAUAAAGAGUAGUGAGGCAACGCACCAAGUUGGUGCAAAUUACCUAUAAUGGGAAGCUUAGUUGGGCCAGGAGGCAGCGGCUUCUUUUGCCCCUUCAACUCUAUUUUCCGUUUUAUGAGAAACAUAAGAGGGAGAAGUAGUAGAAGCAGAUGAAGCCAGAUUGAUGGAGAAUAGAGCGCCAUUGGAACUUGCUCGCUCUAUGAAUCUUGGGUGGGUUGUAGAUACACUACAAAAAGAUACUUUUAUAGUUGCGGUCCUAUCCUGCAGCUAAAAUUAACAAAAAGUUGUGACCAUAUAAAAUUUAGAUAGGGAUAAAAUAGAGCAAAGCUUAGUCAUAGACCAUAGAGGGUGCAGACAAAUCCUAUGGCUGUAGCCACUUAUAAAACUGCCACUAGAAGAAGCUAAAAAUUAUUAAUAGGCUAUACAGGGUUGCAGUUUUCUCUUGGCUGCUACACUUUUCUUGGCCCCUACUAUAGCUAAUUUAUGUGGACAUAAUUUAUUCACUACUAUAGAUCUUUAUUUUUAUUUAUUUAUUUAUUUCAAUGCCUUUUCCUAUUUAUCAAUUAAAAUAUUUUCAAGAGGAAAACCAAUAUCCGAACACAUUUACACACACACAAUUGCCAAUGCUUUCAACGUUAAUUGAAAAUAGAAAAUGCAAAAGACUUUGAUGAGCUGUUUUGCUGAACCACUGGCAAAAAGUAGUAAGCGAGCACUUGUGAGCAUCAAUUGCAAGGUAGGCACUUGCCAUUUCUCACCAGCCUGAGAUGCACUCACAAAUGCAUGGUUUUUGGUGUGUGCAGGAUGAGCCAUCCCUCUAAUGCUAGAAGGCAUUCUUGAGGUUUCUCACCACCAUGUCCUUUCCUCUUUCAGUUCGGUGUCCCGCUGAUCUGAUCUUCAGACAACACUAAAUAACUCAAAAUCAUAAAAUAUAUGUGUUAGUUUCUAAUUUAACAUAAAUAAUAAUCCAUAAAUUCAAAUUUCAAAGACCAAAGUUAAUUUAACAAUUAAACAAAAGUAAUAAAUCCAUUAAUCUAAAAUAAUUAAUAAAAAGCAAUAAGUCACAUCCUAUGAUAACUAAAAAGUGAUAAAUAUAAUUUAAUUUUAAAUAAUAAUAAUAACAAAUAAAUAAACAAUAAUCACCUUUAACAUAUGACAACUUUUACUCUAAAAAGAGCAUUUGAUGAAACUAAAAUUAAAUUAUAUUUAAGUUGUUAAAUUAAAACUUAUUAUUUAAUUUUUAUUUUAAAUAUUAAAAUUUUUUAUAAAAUUAUUUUAAAAAUUAUUUUAAAUCAUCAAAUUAACAUAUUUAUCCUCAUAAAUUAUAAUUAGGGUAAAGAAAGUCAAAUAAUAAUAAAGGUUGUGGAGUAACGAAAAAAAUCAUAGAGAUAAUUAAGAUAAAUCAUAAUAAAAAAAAGGAAAAUAAAGAUGUAAACUUAAUAAUAAUUAAUUGUUUUUAUUUAUUAUUUAAAAUUAUUUUUUAUUUUAAGUUAUUUUAUCAACUAUAUUUAAUGUAUUUAAUUACUUAUAAGUUGUAACUCGUAACACAGACACCCACUAAAUGAGAUUUUUGAUAAAAGUAUAGCAGUUUUAAAAAAUUAUUCCUAAAUUACCGUAGUAGAAAAAAUAAUUCCAAAUUUAUCGUAAUUUUGUUCAAAUAGAAAAGAGAAAAUAAUUUGUAAAUGAAAAAUAGUCUCUCCAGAAAAUAAGUAAAUCGUAUGUUGAGAAAUGGUCUUUUAAAAAAGUGAGACAUCCUCUUUUAAAGAGACGAUUUAAAAAAAUAAUAAUAAAAAAAUUAAAACAAGUGAGAAAUUAUAUCUUAAAAAGGCACGAUUUCCAAAUAUAUAUAUAAAAUUCUCACAAAAAAAAAGGAAAAAAACAAACAAGAUUUUGUCUCUUCAAAACACGAUUUCCACACACAAAAAGUGAUUAAAAAAACCCAAGUGGGCAGCACAAAAGUGAGAAGAGAGUAUUUUGGCCUUUCCAAGCUUGAAAAAGAGCACCCAACUAGGCUUUUCGUCUACAUUGGUAAUACGUUGAAUGCAAGUGUUAGGAAUGGGUUUCGGGGAUUUUGGUUGAUUUGUUUUGUAAGGGUAGUUUGAUACCGGAGCUUCAGGAUCCAGGGACUUGGGAGAAGUUGAGGAAGAGGUUGAGGAAGGAUGGGAGGAUUAUGGUUAAUGUUGGAGGGAGUUGUGUUGAGGCAAAGGAUUCAAGGAGAGAUGGGAAGGUGGUAAUGGAGGAAUCAUUGAAGGCAAUGCAUAAGGUCUUUGGUGAUCAGUCUUUGUUUUGAAUCUCGGAAACAGGAAGGAGGAUAGCUCCAUUGCUCUCACCGGCAAAUUGUCGGAUCUUGAUGAAUGGAAGAAAGUUCUUCCCUGAUCUUUAAGGUUUUAUGUGGAUGUGGACGCCCGUCAGUUCCUAGUGUGACUGUUUCCAGUAACCACUCUCUGAGAAGAAGCAUUCAGGAGCAGUCUACUGAUACAAUUCAUAUAUUUGUGUUUAUUCCUGUUAGAAGCAAUGUUUUUUUUCCCCGGAUUGUGCAAAGCUUAUUUAUGAGGUUUGAAUUUUUCUCCCACCUAAAAUCAUCCUCUCUUUUGUUUUUUUGUUCAGGGCAUCUAAGUAGUAAGGGAGUCAUAUGAUUGUAAAAUGGAUUUAUAAUAUAUUUUUAUAUUAAAUUAUAUUAAUUUUUUUAUAAUAUAUAAAUAAUUAAUUGUAUUAUAAUAUAUAUUAAAUUUUAUUUUUUUUAGUUUUUAAAUUAUCUCUUGAAAAGACUAUCUCCAAUUGCUUAAUUUAAAUUAUCUUUUGGAAAUCAUGCUCUUUUUUUUUAUCGUCUCUUCCAAAUGAAAUUUCUCAUUCUUAGUAAUUUGGAAAGAGAUAUUUUUUUUUUUAAAAAAAAAGAAAAGGUCAUAAAUUUGAAGAGACGAUUUAAAAAAAAAUAUAUCCCUCCCUCCUACCUAACAAAAUCUACCAUAGAUUUGAAAUUAUUUUUUUCAUUACGAUAAUUUAAAAAUUAUUUUUUAAAAUUACGAUACUCUUGUCAAAAAUCCCUCUACCAUUCUAAGUUGACCGGUCGGUCUAAGUCAUGGCUCCUAUUUUCUUGCCUUCUCCUAUUGCAGCAUUGCACCACGUGACAUCUCCUUUUCUUUCUACCAGGUCCUUUUCCUAUCUGCAACGAUUUUCAUCAAUUUCAAUUUGGCCACAGAUAGUGCAAACAUUUUAAUAUUUUUAUUCUUUUUAUACGGGAGAGAAAAGGGGAGAAAUAAAUAAAUUUAAAUUUCUUUUUAUUUUUCUACUUUUCUUUUCUUGUUAACAGUGAUGGAGAAUUGGCACAAGGUUAAGAGCAAACUUCUUACGGACAGUAAGACCUGCUGCUUCUUCCAUGCUAAUAUCUGCCUCCCUAAUCCCAUUCGGCAAGUUCCAAUUGAAACGAUAUAAAAGAUUAGCAAGUGCGAGCUCCACUGUUGCAAUCGCCAUAUACAUACCCGGGCAAAUUCUUCUUCCCGCUCCGAAAGGCAGUAGCUCAAAAUGUUGUCCUCUAAAAUCUACAGAGUUGUCCAUAAACCUCUCGGGCAAAAACUCCUCUGGGUUCUUCCAGAGGUUGGGGUCUCGCCCAAUUGCCCAAACGUUUACGUGGACUUGGGUUUUGGGGUAAAUGUGGUACCCGUUUAUCUCAAAAUGUGACAUGGUUUCUCUUGGAAGUAGAAGUGGGGCGGGAGGAUGCAGUCUCAAAGUUUCUUUGACCACCACCUUGAGGUAGUGAAGCUGAUCAACAUCACUCUCCGUGACUUUUCCUUUAUUUCCAAUGGAGCUUCUAACUUCAGCCUGGGCUUUUUUCAUUAUUCCUGGGUUCCUAGCAAGCUCGGUCAUUGCCCAAGCUACGGUGAUUGCACCAGUGUCCACUCCAGCCAAGAAUAAAUCCUGAGGCACAUGUUAAAAGUAAGCAAAAGAACGCUUUAGUUCCAAGUAUACCAAGCUAAGCAUUAUGCCAUUCUUGGCUCAAAGAACCCAAGACGCAAAGUCAAAUUAAAUGAUAAUCGAUUGCCCCUUUUGUAGAUAGCUCCAAGGCACUCUACGUAAUUUUGCGCCUUCCUCCUCCUCCGUCUCUCUCUUUCAAUGCUUUCAUAAUCAAACCAAGUCUUUAAAUAGAAAAAAAUAUUGGUUCAUAAAUUACCGGUCAAACCAGUAGGUAAACCACGAUGUAACGGGUAACAUUAUAAAUAUAUUAUUACAUAUUAUUAAAAUUAAAAAUAAUUAUAAAAAAUUAUAUAUAUAUAUAUAUAUAUAAUAUUUAAAUGUGAAUAUAUUAAAAAUGAAAGAAAAAUUAUUUAUUUAAUUUUAAUUAAUUUUAUAAUUUUAGAAAAUAUUAUAUGUUUUAUUUAAUAUUAUAAAUUUUUUUAGUAAAGAAUUUUUUUUUUUUGUUUGCCACAUGAAGGAACAAGUCGGAUGUAGUGGAGUGGUCUCUUAACUCAUUUAACGAGUUUAAGGUCCCAGCCCCUUUAAUGAUAAAAUUAAGGAUGGGGAACUGGGCUUUAAUGAUAAAAAGGGUGGGAAGGGAUGGAAGGGAGGGAGGCGGAGGGAGGUGGACUCGGCCUGUUUCAACGAAUAAAAAGGGGUUGCAUUUGAGCUAUUAUUAAGCUUCCAAAAUGGGGAGAUCAGGUGAUCUGAUCUAUCAUUCAUCCUUUAAACGGCUAAAAGUUGAAACAACUAUACUACACACUUAAGAAACUCAAAAAAGAAAAAAAAAAAAAAAGGAGUAGGUUGGUGACUUACCAUAAGGAUUGCUUUCGCGUUAUCUUUAGUAAACUGUAGGGCACUGGAUUCAGAUUGUUCCCUCUCUAUUCUCAGCAGCACGUCGAUGAUGUCUUCAUGCUCCUCUUUCACCCUUCCUGGGUUGAGAUGGUCUUCGAUCACCUGUUGGUAGAAGCCGUCCAUUUCAUGGAAACUCCUCUCAAGCCUUCCAUGAAGACCAGUGAGUCUAUCCACAAUCCGACCCACGUACGGAAAGAAAUCGGAUGCAGUGAGCCCGCCCAACAAAGCCAUGGCUUCAUGAACCACUUCUUGAAAUCUUCCGUCACCAAACUCACUCGCUUGAAAACUCUUUCCGAAUGCAAUCCUACAAAUUAUAUUUGCUGUGAGAGACAUUAGCCUCUCGGUAAGAUCAAUAGGACUUCCAGAAGAAGACGAUUGCACAAUUGAAUCAAUCAGCAAAGCGACCUCCUCUUCUCUGAUGAACUGAAACGACUGCACCCUUUUUGUGCUAAACACCUCGAGAACGCAGAUCUUGCGUACCUCCCUCCAGUAGUCGCCGUAUGGCGCAAAAGAUAUGUCUCGGUGAUUGUAUGAGAAUUUUCCAAGUCCAACUAAGGGAGGUCGACUGCAACAAUCAAUAUCAUGAGUUUUCAAGAAUUCCCUUGCAGCUUCCGCAGAGGAGACUACGACGGUAGGGACACCAAGCUGAAGGAGCAUGAUGGAGCCAUAUUUCUUAGAUAGUUGCCAUAAAGAGUAGUGAGGCAACGCACCAAGUUGGUGCAAAUUACCUAUAAUGGGAAGCUUAGUAGGGCCAGGAGGCAGCGGCUUCUUUUGCCCCUUCAACUCUAUUUUCCGUUUUAUGAGAAACAUAAGAGGGAGAAGUAGCAGAAGCAGAUGAAGCCAGAUUGAUGGAGAAUAGAGCGCCAUUGGAGCUUGCUCGCUCUAUGAAUCUUGGGUGGGAUGUACUUAGGAUACACAUACAUCAUCGGCUUCAACCCCAAUUCCAACUUCUACCACUAUUUUGUCCUAGCAGGCCUUCCAAUUAUCGUUUCCCCUUUUUUAUUCUAUAGCAUUACAUGCCACGUUUCGCAACGACAAGCACAGAUUUGUCUUUUCUUUCUUUCUUUCUUUACCACAAAUUUUGUGAAGUGAUACAAAGCAAGAAAAAAUAUAUUUUCUUUAUAAAACAAUUUUUUUUUUUUUGUCUACAAAUGUCCCCAUUCCAAGUCAUAACAUGCGGAUACAUUCUCAUGUAUACGAGGGCAUAUACAUACAUUUCCAUGUGCACGGAGCCGAUCUUGAAGCUAACUUUCAUUUUUUUAUUUUUUUUAAAACAAAUAUUUUAAUAAGAAGUUUCCAAUUUUAAAAUAUCUUUCCCAUUUUUUUUCAAACCCUAUUUUGUUUUUUUCCUUUUUUUCUCACUUGAUAUACCUUGUAUUAACCCAAAGUUUCAUUGGAACAUUCUCUCAAAUAUAUAGAUAAUUUUUGUCCAUCCCGAGAUCCAUUGAAUCCAAAGUAAAUUAUAAAUUAUUUUUAUAUAUUUAAUAACAUAAUAUAAAUUUUUUUUAUUAAUUUAUAAAACUUAAAUAUUUUAAUCAUGAAUAUUAUUAAAUAUUAGAAAAUUUUUAAUUUUUUAAAUAAAAAAUAUUAAAAUAUGGUAUAAUUUUUAUUUCAAAUAUUAAAAAUAAUAUGUGUUUUAUAUAUAUAUCAUUCAAUAUAUUUCAGGAUAUCAAUAUGAUAUCCUUGGAUAUACAUAUUUUAUCCUUAUCUAUUCAAUUUUGUCAACCAAAUAUAACCUAAAUUAAUGAGAAGUAAUUUAUUGAAAAUCUAUAACAAGCACAAUUUAACAUCCAUGAAGAUCUACAGGACUUCUUGAGUGAAACUUAUAAAUCCGGAGUUGAGAUGUCAAUUCUAGUGGCUAGAGCAUUGUUCAAUUUUAUAUGACCAGAUGAUAAAGAAAUUAAGGCAAAAAAUGCAAAUGAAGUUGUUUCAUGAGGAUGAACUUUGCAUAGAUUGCAAUGUCAAAUCUCAGAUCCUUUUUCAUUCAAUAAGGAAAACGAAAACAUAAAUGUAUGAGACGUGGACGGCACUCCCAACACUUACCUAAUAAAGAGUUCUCUUUUAGUGGCCCCAUUUCAAAUGUCGUGCUUCAUUUUACUUCAUCCAUAUAAACCAACAAACAUUUUGUUGUUUUCAGUGGUUAUGUCACGCACCAAAGCCAACUAGGGCCCAAGAUUUCACUAGAAUCUUAGCAACACAAGCAUCAUGCCACUCAAUAUUGCAGUAACACUCCCAGGAAUAGGGGCUAAUGGGCCCCUAAUUAAAAUCAUUCAAGCUACAAUGCAUCCAUGACCUCUAAAAGCUUUCACAUUUUUCUCUCAAUUUGCUUUUCCAUAUAUAUGCAAUAAGGCAACUUUCAAAAAAUCAAAGGGUAACUAUUUCUUAUCUUUAUUUGCAAAAGCAAUGAUUGAUAUCACUUUUUAUUUAGGACUAAGGAGAUUGUUUGCGGCUCACCAUGAGGAUUGCUUUAAUAUGAUCUUUAUUUAGCUUAAUCGCACCAAAUUUAGGGUGUUCGAUCCCUUUCUGUUUGCAGCAGCACAUCAAUGAAAUUUUCAUGUUCCUCUUUCACAGCUUAUUAAAUUGAGAUCAUGGAGUCCAAUCACCUGCUAAUAGAAACCAAUGAGGAAAAUGUCGGGAUAUAUCAGUGAUAUAUCGUGUAUCGGGAGGGGUUGAUACGAUAUUUCGUAGAGAAAAAUCAGAGGGGAGAUAUUUCCGUAAAUAUCGCCAAAAUAUCGGCGAUAUAUUGGCUCGAGGAGAUAUAUAGGAGAUUUUAAAAAAAAAAAUCACCUCUGGUGGCAAAAUAUCGGCAAAAUAUUGAUGAUAUAUCAGAGAUAAAUCGUCAAUUUUUUUGCAAUAUUUCCCCUCUUUCAUACAACGUGAUCAAACGGCCCAAAUCACGCCCGUGUUGAUAUGACGGCCUAGAUGUGAUUCCAAUGGUAAUAUGGCGAUCCAACGGCCAGAUUGCUCCCAGCUUUUUAUCCAACAGCCAAAAUUGAUUUUCAACGAUAAAUUAAUGUUCCAACGGCUAUUUUGGCCCAAAUUUUUUCUAUAAAUAGCCCAAAUUUAAUCUAUUUCAUCCAUUUUUGCUUUCAUUCUUCAUUUGCUCUCUCAUUACUCCAAUUUUUAUUAAGGUUGCUCAAUUAUUUAAUCAUUUUAAGGUAUAUUUGUUUUAAAUUGUAAUUAAUUUUGUUUGCAAUUAUAAUUAAUUCAUGUAUUUUCAAUUAAUUACUAUGUUUGUAAUAUGGAUGAAUUAAUACUAUUUUUACAUUCAAUUGUAAUUAAUUUUUAUAUUUUUAUUGAAUUAACUUAGGUUAAUUUGAUUAUUUAAUUAUAAAUUGAUAUGUUUAUUUUAGAUGAUUAUUUGUGAUUUAUUUUCACAUUUAGAAUUAAAUUAAACUAGUUAACUUUGCUAAAUUAUUUAAUUAAUUUAAUUAACAUGAACUACUAUAUUUUGAAUAUGAAAUAUGUUUAUUUAAUGAAUUUAAUGUGUAAAAAUUAUUGAUAUUUAAUUAAAUGAAGUAUUUUAUGUGACUUUAUAAUGAGAACAAUUAUAAAAUUAACAUUUCUUAUAGAUCGACAUGAUAUAAUUACAUCUAAUAUCGCAAAUUAUAUCAUAUGUAUAUCAAAUUUUUUAAUAAAACAACUUUAAAAUGUCCAUUAUACUUAUAAUUAUAUUAUUAUGAGGUUUUCCUUGCAUUUCCAUGAGUUUUUAACAAUUUUAAGCCUAUCAAUAUUUUUUUCCAGAAUAUCCGUGAUUACCGAUAUUUUCAUCCUUGGUAGAAACCAUCCAAUUCAUAGUAUGUCCUCUCGAGCCACCCAUAAAGACGAGUGAGCCUAAUCCACAAAGAUUGUCUAAAGCAUUGAAAAGUAUAGAAGUUCUAAAGAGAAACAUGCAUUGUAUAGAAAGUACAUGAUUUUAGUAUGCUAUACGUGGAUAAUAAGGUACUUUGUAAGGUUGCAAAAGAUGAUACAAUUGUUUAUGGUUCAAGUUAAAAAGUCUAUAUUAUAAAGUUUCUUAUAAAUGUCUUGUAUUUAAAUAGGUAAUUAUUUUCCAUCUAAAUGAAAGAAAAUAUAUCUGUUAAUGACUACUUUGAUGAGUUUGAUAGAACCAUGAGAGACAUAAGAAAUAUUAUGUCAAAAUUAUUGAUAAAGAUAAGUAAUAAUUUUGAUGUGUUCCCUUCCAAGUUUUUAUAAGAACCUUGUGAAUACCGUAAUAUCUUAUAGAAAUAAUCAUUCCAUAAAGGAGAUGGGGAUAUAAUUAAAUAUAAGGGAGUUUAAGAAUUAAAUGUCUAAGAAUAGAAAAAAGAAAAAAAAAACCUCAUAAAAAUAUCAAUUGGCUAGAAGGUAAAUAGGGAAAAAAAAAAAAAAAACCUUAAGCAAGAUAGGUCGAGAUCUAUAUCAAACUUCAAGGAAAAACCAAGCAUUUCAAUUACAACAAGAAAGAACGUAAUGAGAGGAAUGGUCUAGAAUGUAAAAGAAAGGCAAAAGAGAAAAUUGUUCUUUUAUGAUAUUGUAGCGGCCAAGGAAAUUCCAUGUUAUAUCCCUUUGUAGUUUUUGUAAGUGACUCAAAUAAUGAAUGAAUCCUUGAUAUAGGGUAAUCUUACCAUUUAACUUUGAGUGGAUACCCAUCAAUUUGAUGGUAGGAAAAUUAUUAUGAGAAAUACUACAACUUACAAGAUUGUUAGGAUAUGCACAAUUCAAAUUAAGAUUCUUAAUGAUAUUUUGGAUGAUACUAAUUGAUGUACAAUAUAUUCCAAUGUUGAAAAAAAGCUGAUUUCUUUUGAUACUUUUCAUUCUAAAAAGGUGCAUAUACAAAGGUAGAAGUGGACUAGGGAGAAUAUUGAAGGGUGCUCUUUUCAUAAUGAGAGGACAAAAAGUUAAUAAUUCUCAUACAUUACAAGACAACAUAGUUAUAGGUCCAAUUAUAUACACAAUAAGGUGGGACUAUUUUGAGCAAAGUGGAUUCACUUGAUAAAAAGAUAUUAGAGAGUGAGUAAUAAAAGUAAAUCCUUUUGAAAAAAAAUCUAAAUGUAGAUUUGUUUUGAAAAUAUUCACAAAAAUAGUGUUAGCUUUAGAAUUAAGGUCAUAGUAAACUGUGAAACCAAGGUGUGAUUAAUCUUGAUUUUGAUAAUAACAAAAUAAGGUUUAGAACUAAUGAUCAUAUUUCAAGUGUGAUUAGGCAAGACGAUUUCCAAAGUGACAAUCACAAAGACAAAUCAAGCCAAAGAGAAAUCAUGAAGAAGAAUACCACCUCAAAGAGAAGAGUUUUUCAAGACCAAAGCUUCAUAAGAUCUCUUUGUAAGGUUGUUGGUGCACUAAGACUUUCAUGCAUUUCAUUAUUUAUUUAUGUACUAAAAUUAUCCAAGAGUAAUAUUGUUUUAAAUAUCUUAAGAAUUGGAUGAUUUCAUGUUUUCAACUAAAACCUUGUGUUAAAUGAUUUUCAAACUUGUGUUAAAAGGUUUUAAGUUGAAAAAGGUUAGGUGUUGAGCCAAAAAAAUGGCUCGACCGGUUGUGCUCAUUCGGUCGAGGACCGGUUAAGGGAGGCCAAAAAGUUUCUCUCUCUCCCAGUGGCCUUCUCUUCCCGAUCAAGGUUGAACCUCAACCGGUUGAGGUCCGGUCGAGGUCAUGUUGAGGUCCGGUUGAGGCCCAACAGUCACUUACCAAGCAUUAAAUGCUAACGGCUAGUCAACCGGUCGACUCCUACCUCGACCAAUCGAACCCCCAACGGCUAGUUUGGUUUUUUUCUUCUAUAAAAAUGCUCUAAUCUUCAUUGUUUCAUGAGUUUAACCUUCCCAAAUCUUUCUUGAUUAUAUUUGAGCCUUGGAAGAGUAUUUUUGAGUGCACCAUUAUUUCAAAACUUGCAUAUCUUUAGUGCACCAUUCAAUCCUAAUUUUUCUUGUAUCAUUUGAACUUAAAGUUCUUGUGCUAAGAUUUUUGAAAGAUCAUUCAUUUGUAAAUCUUUAAAAGGAAGUUUCUCAAGUGUGAGGUAUCACUUGAGGGGUUGUUCAAGAGUGGGAUAUCUCUUGAGAAGUGUAAAGGGUGCUUGGAGCCAAAAAUCCAAGAGGGUGAAUUGGAACCAUAAUCCAAUUGUAUUGCUUGAAGGCUUGGUUUGGAAGCCUUGGAUUAGUAGAACCUCAAGCUCGGGAUUGAAGCUAAACGAGAGUGGAUAUAGGCCGGGUUGCACCGAACCACUAUAAACUCUUGUGUUUGCAUUCUCUCUUCACUACUCUUUAAUUUAUAUGCAAUUGUCUAUAUAUUGAUUAUUAUAUACUUGCAUAUAAUUGUCUCUUGCAUUCACUGGUUUAAAUUUGAGAAAAGAGAUCAUCACUCUAUUCACCCCCCUUUAGGGUGAUUACCAUAGGUUGGAUUAGCCUAAUAUUUCUAGCAUAAACUAUAAUUUUUAUUACCAUAAUUAAUGACUAUGGUUUAACCUUAAACUUAAAACCAAGGUCAGUGAUUAUAGUUUUAACAUAAUUUUUUUAAAAAAAAUAAUAAAAUAUAUGUUAAUGAAGAACUAGUUUGAUGAAUAUUUUUAAAAGUAAUCUAAAUUUGGAAUUUCUUUUUCUUGAAAAAAAUUAAUUUUGUGGCAAAUUAUGAAUUUUAAAGAGUAAAAAAUUUUAAAUUAGUUUAAAAAAUUAUUUUUAAAAACUUGUAACAGAUCCAAAACUGCCUUGACACCGACGUUAUACAAAUGUAGGCAUUAAGCCCACAAAUUAAUAAAAUUUGAUAUUUUUAUUUUUAGGGCUACAUUUGGUCCCAGAAAAUACUAAGGAAAGAAAAAAAAAAUGUAAAGGAAAAUGAUUUUUUCAUAUUUGGUUGUCCUAUAAAAAAUAUCAAAGAAAAUCAAAUAUAAUUUAAACUAAUUAAAAAUUUAUGUAUUUUUAAAUUAUUUAAUUUUUAUAUUGAUGAGUUAAAAAAAAUAAAUUGAGUUUAAAGUAACAAAAAAAUAAUUUAUCAACUUUUAAUCUUUUUUAUUUAUUUUUCUCUAUUUUUUCUUUCCUUCUAUUUUUCUUUUGUAUUUUUUUUUUUUUUUUUUGCAUUUUCCUUCAAAUUUUAUGGAACCAAACAUAGCCCAGAGUGGGAUCAAAAUCCAUAACAUAAAAGAUAUUCUCAUGUGGGUCAGGCUUGGACCUAGAGACAGGUCGAAGUAGCAUCUUGUAAAAUCCAUGAGGUAAAACAUAUGAUUAAAAAUCAAUUAAAAUGGGCCAAGGGCCCCAUAACAGAGCCCAUUAGAUACGUGGCACAACAUCGAUGCGCUGUGUAAACCUAUAGAUGACAGGGUCACAGAGUUGCCCCUUGGAACAUCUAACCCUAGGUGCCGUAUAUUCCAUUUUGAAAAUAUAAAAAAAGUUGACUCAACCACGGUUUGCCUGCAUCUAACCAUGGUCGUCAACGUGUCCGAUCUCUUUGAAAGAACUAGGGUUAGGGUUAGGGUUCGAUCCGAUUGCGACCAAUGGAGAUGGAAAGUGUGACUGAGUUUCCUCAUACUCACAUGGAUCGGCGUCCUCGGAAGAGGCCUAGGUUUGCUUGGGAUGCACCUCAACUUCACCCUAAGGUAAAACUCGAAACCUUUUUGGCUGCUUUUGGUUGCCCAGAAUUGGAGUUCCCAUAUUUGGAUUCGGAUUUUGUGCAACCAAACGCAGCUUUGUAUCAUGAUUGUCCUUUUUUUAAAAUUAGAAAUGUUCCAAAUACAUUUUUUAAAAAUAAUUUAUCCAGUAUAUAUAUAUACACAUUCAUAGAAUCUUUUUGAAAUUUAAAAAAUAUUUAAUAAAUCAACAUAAUAACUUCAGAAAUUAAUAUAUUGUAAUGAUUAAAUUUAGGUUAUUAAGUAUAUUUAGUAUUAUAAUUUAAAAUCAAAAUUAAUUUUUGACAAGAAAACUUAAUGACUUAAUAUAACUUAAUAAUUUAAACAUAAAAUUACUUUAAAUUAUUAUUAAGUAUUAUGUUUUAUGAAAUUCUAAUUGACUUAUUUUUCUUGGCAUAUAAGUGUAAACAUAAUUUUCUUGAUUUCAAAAGAAAACACGACAUAGCCUUCAUGUUGGUAGUGGGAGCAAAGACAACAUAAGAAUUUUUGGACUGUUUGACGAUAUUUCAUUAUAUUUGUUUUUAAAAAUUAUGUUUAAGUUAAAGAAUGAAAAGUAAACUUUUGAUGUUUUCUAAAAGGAAAAAUGUUUUACAAUUAAUUUUGAAGUGCAUUCUAUAUAUAUAUAUAUAUAUAUAUAUAUAUAUAUAUAUAUAUAUAUAUAUAUAUAUAUAUAUAUAAAAGGGAAAAAAACAGGUUUGAAUAAAUUGUUCUUAAAAACAAAUUUUUAUUUUGAUUUUAAAAAUGUUGUUAAUCAAUUUAUAUGAUUUAAACUAUAUUUAAUUUAAGUCUUAUUAAAAAUAAAAAUUAAUUUGUUAUUAUAAAUAAAUUUAAAAAUAUAUAGUUUUUAGUAAAAUAUGAAUAUGAAUAUUAUAGUGAAAUCAUAAAUUGUUUUAUAUAUAUAUAAAAAAAAAUGAUAUUGCCGCUAUAACAAAUAUGAUGUUUUAAAAAUAUAUAGAUUUUAGUAAAAUAUGAAUACUAAUAUCAUAAUGAAAUCAUAAAUUGUAUUUUUUUUUCAUAAAAAAUGAUAUUAUAUAUUUUUGUAGUUAAUUAUGAAGAUAUGGAUAUUAAUAUCUUUAUAUAAUACAAUUAUUUUUUUUUAAAUUUAAUUUCUUUUAAUUUGAAAAAAAAAAUCAUAACAUAGAUAAAUUUAGUAACAUAUUUUGAAGAAUUAAUUUUUAAAUUUUCAAAUUAUUUUUUAAAAUUAGAAUAUUUAUUAUUAAGUCUCACUUGAUUUGGUUUCACUUAAUUCAAAAUUGAGUUGUCGAGUAAGAAAAUUUAAAAUAAACAAUAAAAUUAUGAUGUAUUAUAUAUCAUAUUUGGUCUAUUAUUUUUUAUAGUGAUUAAAUAUAUUUUUAAGUUUCAAAUCAUUUUUAAAAAUUAUUAAAUGUUAUAAUAAAUUUAAUAUAUUAAGUCUUGUUUGAUCUGAAAUUUAUUUGUCAAUAAUAAAAUUUAUAAAAAUAUAAUUAUGUGUAAAAAAACAAUAAUAAAAUUAUUCUAGACCAAUUCUUGUAAAUGGAUUUUUGUUAUAAAGUGUAUUAUAUUUUUAGUUGUAAUCAUUUUUCUCAAUUCAUAAACUUGUUAAUAAAUCCAAUGCAUUCAAAUCUACUUGUUUAAUAAAAAAUUUAUGAAAGUAUAGUUUAAAAGUGCAAAAUAGAGUCAUUUUUUUAUCCAUAAAUUUAUAGUAUUAAUUGGUUGAUUAUUUGAGUUUUAAAUUAUUUUUAAAAAUUACUAAAUUCUUUAAUAAAUCUAACGCAUUGAGUUUUAUUUGAUUUUGAGUUUAUUUACCUAAUUAAAAAAUUCACAACAUAUACUUAUAUGUAAGGAAAAAACUAACAAAGUCAUUUACAAUGAAUUUUGAUCUAUCAGUUUCUAAUGGUACUUGAAUUAGUUUUAAAUUGCAUAACUUUCUAGUACUAACUAGAUUAGUUCUUGAGUUCCAAAUUAUCUUCAAGUUUCAAAUUAUUAGUUCUAGCUUAGUUUUUGAGUUUCAAAUUAUUUUUAAAUAAAAUUAUUUCUAAAAAUGAUUAAAUUGUAUGCAUCAAAUAUCAUUUUAUUUGAGGUCUCAUUGUCUAAUAAUUUUUUUUUUUAAAGAAGUAGAAAGAAAUUUGAAAAAAUAAUUAUAAUUAAAAAAGAUAUCAUAUUUGAAGAUUUUAUAUAUAUAUAUAUAUAUAUAUAGUGAUUGGUGAAGAGAAAAUAAAAUGAGAAAAAGAGAUUGUGUUAUUUUUUUUAAUUAUUUUUUUAAGUUCUCCAAAUUUUCCGUUUAUUUUAAAAAAAAAACCAUUAAAAUAAUUUUUAUUUGUUUUCUACAAACUAUUCUUCAUUCCACUUUAAUUUUUAAAAAUUGUUUCCAAAUUGUUACCAAUGAAAAUGUUAUUAAUUUAAAAAAGCAAUUUCUUACCUUUAAAAAUAAAAUUUUAUUUUUAAAUCAUAACAAAAACACAUUAAAUUAUAAGAGUCAUAAACGACAAUGUUGAUAAGAAUCGCAAUCCUUUACUUUUUUUUUCUUUUUUGGCAUCAAUUUCACAAGACAUAUCGUCCUUAUUUCCCUAUGUUAACUAAGAAACAAAAAAUCACUUUACUUAUGAGUAAAGUCCUCCUCAAGAGAUGACCUUAAGAACCAACCUUUCCCACUUUGUGUUGAAAAGAAACCUUUAACAACUUUUGAUAAGUUGUGACACAAAUUAGGCUAUAAUGGUGGUAGAAGGUUGUCCUGAUACUGAAUUUGGCAUUAUGUACAAAAUGAGGUAAAAGAAUGACAAAAAAAUUGAACAUAAUUGAAAAAAAGAGGAAGAAUGCCCGUAAAAAACUAGUAAGUACCAAAGGGAAAUAGGGUCCUCCUCAUCAAUCGUAUCACUCUCUGCAUCUACCAAACUGCAAAAAUCCAUCUUUGCAUAUUGAAAGUGAUGGAGUAAAGCAGAAUUAUUCAUGAAGAAUUUUAACUUCUUCACUAAUAUCUUGAUAAAAAUGGUAAUUAUAUUUGUAUCAUCUACAUGGUAAUUAAUAUUUAUUUUAAUAUCUCACUUUAUCAUAAAUUGCAGAGGUUUUCACUUUCUUUUUAUUUUACACCCCUUAUUAUUUUAUUUUUAAAUAAAAAAGACAUGAGAAACUACACAUUUGUAAUUAGAAAUGAAAAUGAAAAUUAAAAAUUAUUUUUACAUUUUUUUUCAAACUAAUUUUAUUUAUUUUUUUCACCUUUGUAAAGAUUAAAAAUAUAUAAAAAAAUUGAGUAAUUUUAUCUAUAUUUAUUUUUUUGUAUUUUUUUUAGAGUAAAUCAAAUAUGAAAGGUAAAUGAUUUUUUUUCUUAGUACUAUCUUAAACUAAGCGUUGCUAUGCAUGGUAAGUUAUUAAAAUGAUGAUAAUGCCUUAUAAGAAGAAAGGCAACAAAAUUUUUCCCUUUUUCUUUUUCUAAUUUUCCUCAAUUUUUAUUCUCAUUUCUUUGGCGCAAGCUGUUUACAAUCCAAACGAAAUUGAACCUUCCAUGGAAAAGGAAAAAAAAAUAAAACAAAAUAAGAAGCACAAUCAAAUUUCAAAUUUUUUUUCCAUGAAAUAAAUUUCCUUUUUUUUUUAACAUUUUUCAUGGAAGAAACGAUAAAAAUGUUGGGAAAAAAACUAUUCAAAACUAAUUUAUUUUUAAUUUCAAAAACCUAAUUUAUUUUACCUUUUCUUCCUAUUUUUUUUCCCUCUGAUUUUUCUUUAAAACAUUUACGAGAACAAAGCAUAAUCAACCAAACAUAGCCUACACGUUUCCUAUGUCAUUUUCCCAGGAAAAAGGACUGGUGUUUAAUCUCCAUACUCCACUUAUUUUCAUUAAUUUAUCAGCAACUUAAAGUUUUCGUGGGACAAAUACAAAGAAUAUCAAGAACGAUUCCUCUUAUCACCGGUAUUGUUAACAGUGAUGGAGAAUUGGCACAAGGUUCAGAGCGAACUUCUUACGGACAGUAAGACCUGCUGCUUCUUCCAUGUUAAUAUCUGCCUCCCUCAUCCCAUUCGGCAAGUUCCAAUUGAAACGAUAUAAAAGAUUGGCAAGUGCGAGCUCCACUGUUGCAAUCACCAUAUACAUACCCGGGCAAAUUCUUCUACCCGCUCCGAAAGGCAGUAGCUCAAAAUGUUGUCCUCUAAAAUCUACAGAGUUGUCCAUAAACCUCUCGGGCAGAAACUCCUCUGGGUUCUUCCAGAGGUUGGGGUCUCGCCCAAUAGCCCAAACGUUUACUUGGACUUGGGUUUUCGGGUAAAUGUGGUAUCCGUUUAUCUCAAAAUGUGACAUGGUUUCUCUUGGAAGUAGAAGUGGGACGGGAGGAUGUAGUCUCAAAGUUUCUUUGACCACCAUCUUGAGGUAGUGAAGCUGAUCGACAUCACCCUCCGUGACUUUUCCUUUAUUUCCAAUGGAGUUUCUAACUUCAACCUGGGCUUUUUUCAUUAUUCUUGGGUUCCUAGCAAGCUCGGUCAUUGCCCAAGUUAGGGUGAUUGCACCAGUGUCCACUCCAGCCAAGAAUAAAUCCUGAGGCACAUGUUAAAAGUAGGCAAAAGAACACUUUAGUUCCAAUAAGUAUACCAAGCUAAGCAUUAUGCCAUUCUUGGUUCAAAGAAACCAAGACGCAAAGUCAAAUUAAAUGAUAAUCGAUUGGCCCUUUUGUAGAUAGCUCCAAGGCACUCUACGUAACUGCUCCUGCCUCCCGUCUCUCUCUUCCACAUUUCCAUUUACAUCAUUAAUAGAACUUAUCAAGUAUUUUAUGACACGAGAUCUGACCAUAACUACAUUAAAACUUAACAAUGUAAAGUGUGUUGAGUUAUCUAAGUGUGAGCUUAGGAAAUGUGAUAUUAAGCUUCCCAAAUGGGGACCUGAUCUAUCAUUCAUCCUUUAAAUAGCUAAGAGUUGAAACAACAAACUCAAAAAAGAAACGAAAAAAAAUGAGACGGAUCAAAGGAGUAGGUUGGUGGCUUACCAUGAGGAUUGCUUUUGCACUAUCUUUAGUAAACUGUACAGCACCGGAUUCAGACCGUUCCCUCUGUAUUUUCAGCAGCACGUCGAUAAUGUCUUCAUGCUCCUCUUUCACCCUUCCUGGGUUGAGAUGGUCCUCAAUCACCCGUUGGUAGAAACCGUCCAUUUCAAGGAAACUCCUCUCAAGCCUUCCAUGAAGACCAGUGAGUCUAUCCACAAUCCGACCCACGUACGGAAAGAAAUCGGCUGCAGUGAACCCGCCCAACAAAGCCAUGGCUUCACGAACCACUUCUUGAAAUCUUCCGUCACCAAACUCACUCACUUGAAAACUCUUUCCGAAUGCAAUCCUGCAAAUUAUAUUUGCAGUGAGAGACAUUAACCUCUCGGUAAGAUCAAUAGGACUUCCAGAAGAAGAUGAUUCCGCAAUUGAAUCAAUCAGCAAAGCGACCUCCUCUUCUCUGAUGAACUGAAACGACUGCAGCCUUUUUGUGCUAAACACCUCAUGAACACAGAUCUUGCGUACCUCCCUCCAGUAAUCGCCGUAUGGCGCAAAACCUAUGUCUUGGUGAUUGUAUGAGAAUUUUCCAAGUCCAACUAAGGGAGGUCGACUGCAACAAUCAAUAUCAUGAGUUUUCAAGAAUUCCCUUGCAGCUUCCGCAGAGGAGACUACGACGGUAGGGACACCGAGCUGAAGGAGUAUGAUGGGGCCAUAUUUCUUAGAUAGUUGCCACCAAGAGUAGUGAGGCAACGUACCAAGUUGGUGCAAAUUACCUAUAAUGGGAAGCUUAGUAGGGCCAGGCGGCAGCGGCUUCUUUUGCCCCUUCAACUCUAUUCUCCGUUUUAUGAGAUACAUAAGAGGGAGAAGCAGCAGAAGCAGAUGAAGCCACAUCGAUGGGGAAUAGAGUGCCAUAGGAACUUGCUAGCUCUAUUAAUCUUAGGUGGGUUGUAGAUACACUACAAAAAGAUACUUUUAUAGUUGCGGUCCUAUCCUGCAGCUAAAAUUAACAAAAAAUUGUGACCAUAUAAAAUUUAGAUAGGGAUAAAAUAGAGCAAAGCUUAGUCAUAGACCAUAGAGGGUGCAGACAAAUCCUAUGGCUGUAGCCACUUAUAUAAAACUGCCAGUAGAAGAAGUUAAAAAUUAUUAAUAGGCUAUACAGGGUUGCAGUUUUCUCUUGGCUGCUACCAUAAGGCUCAUAGGAUGCACUUUUCUUGGCCCCUACUAUAGCUAAUUUAUGUGGACAUAAUUUAUUCACUACUAUAGAUCUUUAUUUUUAUUUAUUUAUUUUUUUCAAUGCCUUUUCCUAUUUAUCAAUUAAAAUAUUUUCAAGAGGAAAACCAAUAUCCGAACACAUUUACACACACACAAUUGCCAAUACUUUCAACGUUAAUUGAAAAUAGAAAAUGCAAAAGACUUUGAUGAGCUGUUUUGCUGAACCACUGGCAAAAAGUAGUAAGCGAGCACUUGUGAGCAUCAAUUGCAAGGUAGGCACUUGCCAUUUCUCACCAGCCUGAGAUGCACUCACAAAUGGUUUUUGGUGUGUGCAGGAUGAGCCAUCACUCUAAUGCUAGAAGGCAUUCUUGAGGUUUCUCACCACCAUGUCCUUUCCUCUUUCAGUUCGGUGUCCCGCUGAUCUGAUCUUCAGACAACACCAAGGUUCAGUCUGCGAAGUAAGGGACUCACCAAUGUUUCCUUCAAACAAGACAAAAAGAAACGGAAAUGGAUCAUUCUGCCUUUUCAUUUGUGUUUCUACGUAUGACUCGUGGUGAUCACCUGAUGGAAUUUGAUCAUUCAGCGAAUCUCAUCGAAAACGGUUUCACAGUUCAGGGGAUUAUUGGUAACUUUGGAAUUAAAGUCUAUUAUUUUAAGCCCUUUCAGUAUUUAUAGUCAAAGCAAAAGAUGAAAGGAACAACAUGAUAUCUUCAGCUUCAGCUUUUACUUUUGCUCUUGACAAGGCUGAAACUGAUCCUGGAAUCAAAACUCACAUACACAAGUAGAUAUUUAACAGGAAAGGAUCCAAAUCCCUUCAAUUGAUUAAUGUAUAAAUGAAUCAUAUUGAUUGUUUGAAGUGACAACAAAAUUCUGGAAGAGGAGAAAGUUUGACACUGGAGAGCAACAAAAUGACAAGACCAUAAAUAAAUUUAACACCAAGUGCUACUGCCCCAAGAUAUCUAUGAUGCAUCUCUGAAAAAUUCAGAUAAUGGUCAAGAAGGCAGGCUCAUGGGACUAUCAAAUAACCAUUUGAUUUAAGAUUAAAAUAUUUUUCAUAUUUAGGCUCCAAGAAAAUUAAAAUAAAUGAAUAAAUCGUGAUGAUAAUUAAUAAAUAAAGAAAUAGAAAAUCAUCCAUAAAAUGUUAUUUGCAAAUAUUUCACAAAUUGAAAAAUUCUAUGCAAUUUGAACGAUUACUUGGUGAUCAUGCCGAAGUAAGCAAUGAGAAACUAUAUGUAAACUACUAAACAAAAAUAGAAACAGAACCUGCUAAGUAGAAACAAGUGUUUUCCGCUAGGAAACACAGGCCAAAAGAAAAAAGGGGAAAUGAUUCAAAAAUCAAUUACGAAAUAAGUGAUGUAGAGGCAAAAGGGACCUAAUGGGCCUCAUAUGCAUAUCCUUGGAAACAAAAAAUUUAUCUUUCUACAUAGUCUAAUGAUAAACAACAUAUUCACCCACCUCUCAUAGGAGGUGGGGCAGUUGUAUAUUGUCUCCACAUACACCAAACCUGUUUCUUGAUCACUAGAAUAAAUAGGAGGCAAUUAAUCAAGGCAGGUAAUGCAAAUCCAGACAAUAGAGUAAGACUGGAAGAUAGAGCAUACAUGUAAUUGAGAAAAGUGUUGUAGUUCUUGUCCACCUGAAUGCCAGCUAUUCAAGUACGGUAGAUGUUGGCCUUCAUCUCUAAAUUAUAAACAGAAAUGAGAUGGUGUUUGCUCUUCUUCUCCUACAAUGGACCUAGUUGUUUAAGAGACAUGGAGAUAGCUAGAUUUGGUAUAUACAGCUGUGUUUGGUUUUGUCUAAAUGGAAGUAAGAUAAGUCAAUGAGAUUUUCUAGAUAACAAUUGUUUUUCUUGGUGUUUUGAAUACAUUUCCUAUAUCAUAUAAGCUGAGUAAAAAUCUAGAAGAAGAAAGCCAACAAAAUUAUGUUGUACAAGUUGAUGCUACAUUUGGAUAUUAUUGCUUUAACGAUAAGUUUUGUUGUAAUAAUUAUUUCCUAACGAGAUGGGUAGGACUCCAGUUUGAACAUUGGGCUCUACCAACCCAACAUCAAGUCCAUGGGCAACUCGGGUCUCUAUGGGUUCUUAUAGGUUUUCGCAUCAUACCAAGAAAGUAAUUAUUUUAAAAUUUAUAUCAUGUAAAUCAUAUUAUCAAAAAAAAUGUUAAAACUAAUCUAUUUCGUAAUUAUUUUUAAAAACAGUUCUAGAAAACAAUUUUUAACAACUAUUCUUUGAUGUUUUAUAAAGUAAAAAUUUGUUUAAAUAUCUAAAAUAAAUUUUAAAAUAUGUUUUUUUUUAAUUUAAAUAUGUUUUUAAAAUAAUUUUUAUAUUUAAUAUUUUAUUUUUAAUCAUUCUACAUAUUUAUAUAAUUAUUUAAAAAAAAAUUGAAAACAAUUAAAAAAUAUUAUUUAAAAACACAAUAAAAAAUAAAAAAUAAAAACAAAUUUCUAAUUACCAAGUGUGUUCUCAAGAACAUAAAACUAUUUUUGAAAACAUAUACCCAAAAAACCCUAAAUAACUCAAAAUCAUAAAAUAUAUGUGUUAGUUUCUAAUUUAACAUAAAUAAUAAUCCAUAAAUUCAAAUUUCAAAGACCAAAGUUAAUUUAACAAUUAAAAAAAGUAAUAAAUCCAUUAAUCUAAAAUAAUUAAUAAAAAGCAAUAAGUCACUUCCUAUGAUAACUAAAAAGUGAUAAAUAUAAUUUAAUUUUAAAUAAUAAUAAUAACAAAUAAAUAAACAAUAAUCACCUUUAACAUAUGACAAAUUUUACUCUAAAAAGAGCAUUUGAUGAAACUAAAAUUAAAUUAUAUUUAAGUUGUUAAAUUAAAACUUAUUAUUUAAUUUUCAUUUUAAAUAUUAAAAUUUUUUGAUAAAAUUAUUUUAAAAUUUAUUUUAAAUCAUCAAAUUAACAUAUUUAUCCUCAUAAAUUAUAAUUAGGGUAAAGAAAGUCAAAUAAUAAUAAAGGUUGUGGAGUAACGAAAAAAAUCAUAGAGAUAAUUAAGAUAAAUCAUAAUAAAAAAAUAAUAAUAAAGAUGUAAACUUAAUAAUAAUUAAUUGUUUUUAUUUAUUAUUUAAAAUUAUUUUUUAUUUUAAGUUAUUUUAUCAAUUAUAUUUAAUGUAUUUAAUUACUUAUAAGUUGUAACUCGUAACACAGACACCCACUAAAUGGGAUUUUUGAUAAAAGUAUGACAGUUUUAAAAAAUUAUUCCUAAAUUACCGUAGUAGAAAAAAUAAUUCCAAAUUUAUGGUAAUUUUGUUCAAAUAGAAAAGAGAAAAUAAUUUGUAAAUGAAAAAUAGUCUCUUCAAAAAAUAAGUAAAUCGUAUCUUGAGAAAUGGUUUUUUAAAAAAGUGAGACAUCCUCUUUUAAAGAGACGAUUUAAAAAAAUAAUAAUAAAAAAAUUAAAACAAGUGAGAAAUUGUAUCAUUAAGAGGCACGAUUUCCAAAUAUAUAUAUAUAUAAUUCUCACAAAAAAAAAAAAAAGGAAAAAAACAAACAAGAUUUUGUCUCUUCAAAACACGAUUUCCACACAAAAAGUGAUUAAAAAAACCCCAAGUGGGCAGCACAAAAGUGAGAAGAGAGUAUUUUGGCCUUUCCAAGCUUGAAAAAGAGCACCCAACUAGGCUUUUCGUCUACAUUGGUAAUACGUUGAAUGCAAGUGUUAGGAAUGGGUUUCGAGGAUUUUGGUUGAUUUGUUUUGUAAGGGUAGUUUGAUACCAGAGCUUCAGGAUCCAGGGACUUGGAAGAAGUUGAUGAAGAGGUUGAGGAAGGAUGGGAGGAUUAUGGUUAAUGUUGGAGGGAGUUGUGUUGAGGCAAAGGAUUCAAGGAGAGAUGGGAAGGUGGUAAUGGAGGAAUCAUUGAAGGCAAUGCAUAAGGUCUUUGGUGAUCAGUCUUUGUUUUGAAUCUCGGAAACAGGAAGGAGGAUAGCUCCAUUGCUCUCACCGGCAAAUUGUCGGAUCUUGAUGACUGGAAGAAAGUUCUUCCCUAAUCUUUAAGGUUUUAUGUGGAUGUGGAUGUGGACGCCCGUCAGUUCCAAGUGUGACUGUUUCCAUUAACCACUCUCUGAGAAGAAGCAUUCAGGAGCAGUCUACUGAUGCAAUUCAUAUAUUUGUGUUUAUUCCUGUUAGAAGCAAUGUUUUUUUUUUCCCCGGAUUGUGCAAAGCUUAUUUAUGAGGUUUGAAUUUUUCCCCCACCUAAAAUCAUCCUCUCUUUUGUCUCUUUGUUCUCGAUUGGUUCAUUAGGGCAUCUAAGUAGUAAGGGAGUCAUAUGAUUGUAAAAUAGAUUUAUAAUAUAUUUUUAUAUUAAAUUAUAUUAAUUUUUUUAUAAUAUAUAAAUAAUUAAUUGUAUUAUAAUAUAUAUUAAAUUUUAUUUUUUUUAUUUUUUAAAUUAUCUCUUGAACAGACAAUCUCCAAUUGUUUAAUUUAAAUUAUUUUUUGGAAAUCGUGCUCUUUUCUUCAAAAUGAAAUUUCUCAUUCUUAGUAAUUUGGAAAGAGAUUUUUUUUUUUAAAAAAAAAAAGGGUCAUAAAUUUGAAGAGACUAUUUAAAAAAAUAUAUAUCUCUCCCUCCUACCUAACAAAAUCUAUCAUAGAUUUGAAAUUAUUUUUUUUAUUAUGGUAAUUUAAAAAUUAUUUUUUAAAAUUACGGUACUCUUGUCAAAAAUCCCCCUACCAUUCUAAGUUGACCGGUCGGUUUAAGUCAUGGGUCCUAUUUUCUUGCCUUCUCCUAUUGCAGCAUUGCACCACGUGACAUCUCCUUUUCUUUCUACCAGGUCCUUUUCCUAUCUGCAACGAUUUUCAUCAAUUUCAAUUUGGCCACAGAUAGUGCAAACAUUUUAAUAUUUUUAUUCUUUUUAUAUGGGAGAGAAAAGGGGAGAAAUAAAUUAAAUAAGUAUGUAAAAAUAAAUAAAUUUAAACUUCUUUUUAUUUUUCUACUUUUCUUUUCUUGUUAACAGUGAUGGAGAAUUGGCACAAGGUUAAGAGCAAACUUCUUACGGACAGUAAGGCCUGCUGCUUCUUCCAUGCUAAUAUCUGUCUCCUUCAUCCCAUUCGGCAAGUUCCAAUUGAAACGAUAUAAAAGAUUAGCAAGUGCGAGCUCCACUGUUGCAAUCGCCAUAUACAUACCCGGGCAAAUUCUUCUUCCCGCUCCGAAAGGCAGUAGCUCAAAAUGUUGUCCUCUAAAAUCUACAGAGUUGUCCAUAAACCUCUCGGGCAAAAACUCCUCUGGGUUCUUCCAGAGGUUGGGGUCUCGCCCAAUUGCCCAAACGUUUACGUGGACUUGGGUUUUCGGGUAAAAGUGGUAUCCGUUUAUCUCAAAAUGUGACAUGGUUUCUCUUGGAAGUAGAAGUGGGGCGGGAGGAUGCAGUCUCAAAGUUUCUUUGACCACCAUCUUGAGGUAGUGAAGCUGAUCGACAUCACCCUCCGUGACUUUUCCUUUAUUUCCAAUGGAGUUUCUAACUUCAGCCUGGGCUUUUUUCAUUAUUCUUGGGUUCCUAGCAAGCUCGGUCAUUGCCCAAGAUACGGUGAUUGCA
This 26400-nucleotide long non-coding RNA is filed under the name Vitis vinifera (wine grape). RNAcentral's name for it is "long non-coding RNA (VVIN_LNC000111)". Lineage: Eukaryota; Viridiplantae; Streptophyta; Magnoliopsida; Vitales; Vitaceae. The record is from RNAcentral.